Molecule: transfer-messenger RNA, 352 nt
Filed under: Clostridiales bacterium
Lineage: Bacteria; Bacillati; Bacillota; Clostridia; Eubacteriales
Also listed under: 1 other name
Rfam family: transfer-messenger RNA
About the family: Bacterial tmRNA, also known as 10Sa RNA or SsrA, is named for its dual tRNA and mRNA-like properties.
Source: RNAcentral
GGGGGCGUACAUGGUUUCGACGGGGAUCAUGGAGGCCGGAUAAGCGAGCCGAAGACCCGUGCUUCGAUAAAAACGGGAAACUUAAAUUUAACUGGCAAAUCUGAUUUUGCUCUCGCUGCCUAAUUAGGCGGCGCGUCCGCCCGGCGGUUCCCACGCCGCCGGACCCGGGCGUCAUCAAUGUGGGGAACCAGCCUGCCUAAGCUUUGCGGCAGGUGGGAUUUUAUGAAGCUACCGAAACCCAUACCCUGCCGGUAGGGGAUGGGCCGGGGGAAUCUGAAAUGAUCGGCUGCGCUCGGAGAAAGUCUUGCUGACAGGUUUUCGGACAGGGGUUCGACUCCCCUCGCCUCCACCA